This 382-nucleotide small RNA is filed under the name Pan troglodytes (chimpanzee). Its description in RNAcentral is "retained intron". Lineage: Eukaryota; Metazoa; Chordata; Mammalia; Primates; Hominidae. The record is from RNAcentral.
AGCUUUUGUGGCCUCAGCCUACGUUCCUGAGAGCCUGGGCAGCUUGCAAGGCGAUGAUGACAAGAUCUACUUUUUCUUCAGCGAGACUGGCCAGGAAUUUGAGUUCUUUGAGAACACCAUUGUGUCCCGCAUUGCCCGCAUCUGCAAGGGCGAUGAGGGUGGAGAGCGGGUGCUGCAGCAGCGCUGGACCUCCUUCCUCAAGGCCCAGCUGCUGUGCUCACGGCCCGACGACGGCUUCCCCUUCAACGUGCUGCAGGACGUCUUCACGCUGAGCCCCAGCCCCCAGGACUGGCGUGACACCCUUUUCUAUGGGGUCUUCACUUCCCAGUGGUAGGGCCUCCAGACCUCGCUGGAGAUGGAAGGGUGAAGGGUGGCUGGGACU